AUACGGAGGGUGCAAGCGUUACUCGGAAUCACUGGGCGUAAAGCGCGCGCAGGCGGUCUUUUAAGUUGGAUGUGAAAGCCUACAGCUCAACUGUAGAACUGCAUCCAAAACUAUUAGACUAGAGUCUGGGAGGGGAAGAUGGAAUUAGUUGUGUAGGGGUAAAAUCCGUAGAGAUAACUAGGAAUACCAAAAGCGAAGGCAAUCUUCUGGAACACUACUGACGCUGAGGCGCGAAAGCGUGGGGAGCAAACAGGAUUAGAAACCCGAGUAGUCC
This 274-nucleotide ribosomal RNA is filed under the name uncultured bacterium. RNAcentral describes it as "partial 16S ribosomal RNA". It matches the Rfam family "Bacterial small subunit ribosomal RNA", at positions 523 to 796 of the family's 1533-position model. The record is from RNAcentral.